UAAUAGUUGAUGUAGACCCUGAGAA
RNAcentral lists this non-coding RNA (25 nucleotides) under Mus musculus (house mouse). The record is from RNAcentral. Lineage: Eukaryota; Metazoa; Chordata; Mammalia; Rodentia; Muridae.